AAUUGCAUUGCAGUAAGUGCGGACUCUUAAUAUGUGGUGCAUGGAUGAUUUAUGUGUCAAAUAUUCCCUCAGGGUUCGGCGCUUUGGUCAACUAGUUCACCUCCUCGUCUAACGUGAGCUGGAUGUUGCAGAUCUGUCUUUGAAGGAGGCCCCGGUGUCUCGCAGCUGAUUUCACAGAUUUAGUCAUAAUCUGGUAUUGUCUGCCUUAAAAUAACACGAGACUAUUUUAUCCGGGAAGAGGAUUUGGGGAACAUCCACUCGUCCGACGUGGUCGGGGAAUUAAAGUGGUGAAUAAUACAUGCCUGGAAGCAUCCGUGUCUCCGAGUUGCAGCUACUGGACAGAGAGGGAUCUGAAG
Gasterosteus aculeatus aculeatus (three-spined stickleback) is the source of this 356-nucleotide long non-coding RNA. Lineage: Eukaryota; Metazoa; Chordata; Actinopteri; Perciformes; Gasterosteidae. The record is from Ensembl.